This 406-nucleotide ribosomal RNA is filed under the name uncultured bacterium. RNAcentral's name for it is "partial 16S ribosomal RNA". It matches the Rfam family "Bacterial small subunit ribosomal RNA", at positions 30 to 526 of the family's 1533-position model. The record is from RNAcentral.
AUUGAACGCUGGCGGCAGGCCUAACACAUGCAAGUCGAGCGAGCGGCGGACGGGUGAGUAAUGUCUGGGAAACUGCCUGAUGGAGGGGGAUAACUACUGGAAACGGUAGCUAAUACCGCAUACCAUCAGAUGUGCCCAGAUGGGCUUAGCUAGUAGGUGUGGUAACGGCUCACCUAGGCGACGCUCCCUAGCUGGUCUGAGAGGAUGACCAGCCACACUGGAACUGAGCACCGGUCCGGACUCCUACGAGAGGCAGCAUUGGGGAAUAUUGCACAAUGGGCGCAAGCCUAAUGCAGCCAUGCCGCGUGUGUGAAGAAGGCCUUCGGGUUGUAAAGCACUUUCAGCGGGGGGGCGUUACCCGCAGAAGAAGCACCGGCUAACUCCGUGCCAGCAGCCGCGGUAAUUC